AGCCGUAUGCACCAUGCUGUAAACCCGCAAGAGAAAGCGGCUCCAGCUUCAACAAUCCUCAGUGGAAGGCAAAUCUAGACCGAACAAGACCCAUACCCGACCCACUCCCGGAAGAAUGUCUAGCUAUUAUAGAUUCUCUCUUGGCUAUCCACGGUUUCCCGCAAGAAUUCCUUAACAAUCGUAACGAGGGGCUCAAUUGUAAGGCCAAUGCCCAGCCAGAGCCUUUCAGUGACGGCGUUUAAUCAGACCCUUUAGAUGACGAUGGAUCGCAAAACGCUACUGAAGUUAAUUCUCUCAGAACUUUAGCUUCUCCUAAGUCCGCAUUUCCCGCUUUGGAAGAUGUUCUUGUAGCUGAAGAAAAAUAUGUAGAGAAUGCUAUAAGAUGUGGAGGUUUUGCCCCUACAAAGGCAUCUUGUAUAAAGAGUAUUUUGAGUUACCUGCAUCGGAGUAAAGGCAAAUUAUGCUUGGAAUAUUUGAGAGAUUUAUCAAUUGAUCACAUUAAGGCCAAGCUCUCUCGUUUCAAAGUCAUUGUCCAUUGGUCCCAAAACGCUGGUGUUCCAAAUUGUGACACUGAUUCCAAAGUGAUCUGACUUCAGCCAAACAUGCUUGAUGAUUGGAAACCUGUUAACCUAUGCUUAUGUUCACAGAACCAAGGGAGGGAAAUACGAGGGAGAUUCAGUUAGAAAGAGUGGUCCAGAGUCUUCAAAUUCAGCAGCUCCAGUAGGUGACAAGUGGCAGGCUGUGAGGGGAAAGAAUCAAGAAUCGGUUAUGAAAUUUUGUAUAUCAAGUAAAGUGAAGAAGGGUGGGAGGCAGAGAGAAUUAUUUGGAAUCUUGUUUAGCUGAAUUCUUGUUUCAUUUUGAGAGUACUGGCCUCUCAAUAGCCAGCUUGCAGUGUCUAUUACAUUCUGAAUUUCAGUUUCCUUAUUGUGAGCUUUGUAAUGAACUUUGUGGUGUGAUGAAUAUUGCAACUGAUGAAUGAAAAUUAACUCGUCUUUGCUAUUCUGUUCCA
Mangifera indica (mango) is the source of this 1009-nucleotide long non-coding RNA. RefSeq lists it as uncharacterized. The transcript is spliced from 3 exons. The record is from RefSeq and is a predicted model, not a curated record. Lineage: Eukaryota; Viridiplantae; Streptophyta; Magnoliopsida; Sapindales; Anacardiaceae.